Homo sapiens (human) is the source of this 3115-nucleotide long non-coding RNA. Ensembl annotates it as zinc finger protein 300 pseudogene 1. Its record names the gene ZNF300P1. The record is from Ensembl. NCBI's taxonomy places the organism in Eukaryota, Metazoa, Chordata, Mammalia, Primates, Hominidae.
ACCCUGGGAUGGCACAAAUGAAACAAUCUCUCUAUCAUGAUAUUCCCCCGUUGCUCUGAAUGAGUUCAGCUCUGUCUGCAUGAUCUAUCCCAGACUGAAAAGAGUUUACCAGCUAAGUACUUUCCUGCAAUGUAGUAUAUUCCCGUUUAUUGUUCCAACCUGUCAGUAAUUUUUUAUACAGGCAACUGCCUUGUUGAAAAUCAGCAAUAAAAAUUUAAACCAAAGAAAUCUUAAAAUCAGCAAUAAAAAUUUAAACCAAAGAAAUCUUAAAAUCAGCAAUUUUAAUCCACAAAUAUUGAUUUAUCAAGAGAAUUUGCUGGUUUGGAGUAAAAUAUAAAAGAGCUUGUCUUACUCAGUUUGGGCUGCUGUAACAGAAUGCCACAGAUGGAGGACCUUAAACAGCAAACAUUUAUUUCUCACAUUUCUGGAGGCAGAGAAGUUCAAGAUCAAGGUGCCAGCAGGUCUAGUGUUUGCUGAUAGCACUCUUCCUGUUUUGUAAACUUCUCAUUGUAUCCUCACAAGGCCAAGAGACAAAUCAUCUCUCUGAUAUUUCCUGUUGUAAGGGCAUUAAUCCCAUUUAUUAGGGCUCUCAUUUCAUGACCUAAUUACCUCCCAAAGACCCCACUUCCCAAUACAAUCACAUUAGAAUUGCAACAUUUGAAUUUUGGAGGGACAAACAUUCAGUCCAUAACAGAGCUCUUAGAAUUUUGUAGGCUGCUUUGGUUUAGGAAAUAAGGGAAUACACUCCUUAAUUUUCCUCUUGGUCACUCCCAUUCUUGUCUCCAGGGAACAUCUGCAGUUAAAUAUAUAUUUCUCCAUGAUAUCCAUGAUUAUUGUCUUAAGAUAGUUCUACAAAUAGAAAUUCAAAUAGAAUUGCUGGUUCAAAGGGGAACAAUUAGGUGUUUGUAAAUCCACAGGAAACAUAUCUGCAUUUAUCUAAUUAAAAAUACACCUUGCCCUAUGUGAUCAAAUUAUACACCUAGUUCUGUAUGAUCAUAUCAUAGUCACAAAAGGACUAAAGGUGGAUACCUCCUUCACAUGGUGUUUGCUAUAAGGGUCAAACGACCUUCUCCCAUCACGACCUUCUCCCACAGGAUGGCCUAUCAGCUACCUGACUUCUGGUGGUGGUUGUUUAGAGACUGGUGAAUGUUAGUUCUGGCCCAUAAAAACUCCAUUCUUUCUUCCAGACCUGAUUCCUCAGACCUCUGCCCUAUCGGAAGGGAAGCAGAAAAUGAUCAGGUCUCAGGGUCCAGUGUCAUUUGAGGAUGUGGCUGUGGAUUUCACCCAGGAGGAGUGGCAGCAACUGGACUAUGCUCAGAGGACCCUGUACAGGGAUGUGAUGCUGGAGAUCUAUAGCCACCUGGUCUCAAUGGGAUAUCCAGUUUCCAAACCAGAUGUCAUCUCCAAGUUGGAACAAGGAGAAGAGCCAUGGAUCAUAAAGAGACACAUACCAAAUUGGAUCUAUCCAGAGAGAGUAGACUUGACACCCCUCAACUGGAUAUAUUUAGAGAUGUUUUCUUCCAUAAGGAGACACUGGAAAGUAUUACAAGGGGUCAUUCAUUGUACUCCAUUUUAAAAGUCUGGCAAGGUGAUGACCAGCUGGAGAGAGAUCAGGAAAACUGAGACAAAUUUGUCAGGCAAGUUGUAGUCAUCAACAACAAAAGAAUAUCUGAAGAGUCAGGUCAUCCAUAUAAUAUAUUUGGAAAAAUAUUUCAUGACUGCACAGACCUAGAUACUUCAAAACAAAGACUGUGUAAGUGUGAUUCAUUUGAAAAGACCUUGAAACCAAAUAUUAACCUAGUGAGUUAUAAUAGGAAUUUUGCAAGAAAAAACAUUGAUGAGAAUUUUAGAUGUGGGAAAACACCUAGCUACAGUUCUUGCUAUUCUAAGCAUGAAAAAAAUCAUAGUGGAAUGAUACACUGUGAAGCUACUCAUUGUGGAAAGAUUCUUAGCAAUAAACAAUCUCUUAUUCAUUAUGUGAAUGUUGAAACUGGGGAGAAGACCUAUGUAUGUGUUGAAUGUGGAAAAUCCUUUCUCAAGAAGUCACAGAUUAUUAUACAUCAAAGAAUUCAUACUGGAGAGAAACCUUAUGAUUGUGGUGCAUGUGGAAAAGCCUUCAGUGAGAAGUCACACCUUAUUGCACAUCAGAGAACUCAUACUGGGGAGAAACCUUAUGAUUGUUCUGAAUGUGGAAAAGGCUUUUCUCAGAAAUCAUCCCUCAUUAUACAUCAGAGAGUUCACACUGGGGAAAAACCAUAUGAAUGUAGUGAAUGUGAGAAAGCCUUCUCCCAGAAAUCACCCCUCAUUAUACAUCAGAGAAUACAUACUGGGGAAAAGCCCUAUGAAUGUAGAGUGUGGGAAAGCCUUUUCCCAGAGUCACAGCUGAUUAUACAUCACAGAGCUCAUACUGGAGAGAAGCCAUGUAAGUGUACUGAAUGUGGGAAAGCAUUCUGUUUUAUACAUUAAAGAGUUCACACUGGUGAGAAACCCUACAAAUGUGCUCAAUGUGAGGAAGCCUUCAGCAGGAAGUCAGAACUCAUUAUACAUCAGAUAAUUCAUACUGGGGAGAAACCGUAUGAAUGUACAGAAUGUGGGAAAACAUUCUCUCGCAAGUCACAACUCAUCAUACAUCAGAGAACCCACACUGGAGAGAAACCCUAUAAAUGUACCAAAUGUGGAAAAUCCUUCUGUCAGCAGUCACAUCUCAUUGGACAUCAGAGAAUUCACACGGGAGAACAACCUUAUGUAUGUUCUGAAUGUGGGAAAGCCUUCUCUCAGAAGUCUCACCUCCCAGGGCAUUGGUGAAUUCAUACAGGAGAGAAACCUUACAUAUGUGCUGAAUGUGGAAAGGCCUUUUCUCAGAAGUCAGACCUUGUUGUACAUCAGAUAAUUCAUACUGGAGAGAAACCUGAUCGAUGUACUGUAUGUGGGAAGGCCUUCAUCCAGAAGUCCCAACUCACUGUACAUCAGAGAAUUCAUACACUAAUGAAAUCAUAAGAAUGGUCUGAACACAGAAAAGCCUUCAGGGUCAGUUCAAGCCUUAAUAGAUAGUGCAACAACCAAUGGAUUUGAUGAUUUUGGGGACUACAUCUUUGUUGAUAAAAUUUUACAAGUG